This 588-nucleotide ribosomal RNA is filed under the name Acanthoparyphium sp. 1 A JB-2023. RNAcentral's name for it is "partial large subunit ribosomal RNA". The record is from RNAcentral. Lineage: Eukaryota; Metazoa; Platyhelminthes; Trematoda; Plagiorchiida; Himasthlidae.
UACUUUGAGAGAGAGUAACAGUGCGUGAAACCGCUCAGAGGUAAACGGGUGGAGUUGAACUGCAAGCUCUGUGGAUUCAGCUGGUGAGAUUGGCAUGAGCUUGGUCAUGUGGGUUGUAUGUUUGGGUCUGCUUAGCUGCAGGUCCUCGCCUUUGGUGGGGAUGCGCGUAUCACUUGUCAAGUGUUGUGCGCCCGGACGUUGUCGAACCUGCUCGCCAGUGCAUUUUCACAGAGUGUUCACCACGACCGGCGUUGUCGUCUGGCUGUUGCGGUUAAACCGGCUUAGUAGGGUCCUUGUGGCCUUGCUGGGUCGGGAUGGCAGGUAGCCUGUUGUGCAUUUAUGUGCUUCAGGUGUAAUAGCUGACUGCAUCGGUUCUGUGCGGUACGUCGGAGACGGCGGCUUGUUGCGCUUGCGUGCGUGCCUGUUGCGCUGGCGGCUCUGGGUCUGAUUGCCUUGUUGCUUGUAAAUGCAAGCCAGGUGGUGGCUCGGGGUCGUUCGGUGUGCGGUUGCGUGCGUGGUGCUUUGAAAGGGCCCACAGUCUGUGGUGUAGUGGUAGACUAUCCACCCGACCCGUCUUGAAACACGGAC